GCUCGAACUCACGGACUGUGAGAUCAUGACCUGAGCCGAAGCCGGUUGCCCAACCGACCGAGCCACCCAGGCGCCCCUACAUUUCCUGUGUUUAUGUAUGUAUUUGUCUGAUUUAUAGACAUUCAAUAAAUGUUAGGUUAAACUAUGUGAAACAGCUGCUUUCAUGGGUUAAAAAAAGGUUGAAUAUUGGGCAUUUCACAUGGUUCACUGAAGAAGCACAUAAUAAUAGCUAUUAAAAGUACUUGUUAAUAAGAAUAGUUACAAUGUAGGGGCGCCUGGGUGGCUCAGUCAGUUAAGCAUCUGACUCUUGACUUCUGCUCAGGUCAUGAGAUCGAGCCCCGAGUCAGGCUCUGCGCUGAUAUCAAAGGGACUGCUUGGGAUUCCCAUCCCCCCUCUACCUCUCUCUCCCCUUCUCUCAAAAUAAAUAAACUUAAAAAAAAAUAGAGUGCACUAGGCACUGUUGUAAGUGCUUUUUGUAUAUUAUCUCAUUUACUCCAGAGAACAACUCUAUUAUCUUAAAGUUUCCCUAAGGAAGCACAGGCUCAAGAAGUUAAAUGACUGGCCCGAGAUCACACCAGACACCAGUUGCCAGAGCCAGGGUUUGAACUUGCCACGGACUUUCUAUAAGUGAAUGACUCGCCCCACCCCCCACCCCCUGCAGAUGAUGCUGAGCAAAGGUCUGAA
This 684-nucleotide long non-coding RNA is filed under the name Lynx pardinus (Iberian lynx). Lineage: Eukaryota; Metazoa; Chordata; Mammalia; Carnivora; Felidae. The record is from RNAcentral.